This 305-nucleotide ribosomal RNA is filed under the name uncultured bacterium. RNAcentral's name for it is "bacterial SSU rRNA". It matches the Rfam family "Bacterial small subunit ribosomal RNA", at positions 337 to 639 of the family's 1533-position model. The record is from RNAcentral.
UCCUACGGGAGGCAGCAGUGAGGAAUAUUGGUCAAUGGGCGGAAGCCUGAACCAGCCAAGUCGCGUGAGGGAAUAAGGCCCUACGGGUCGUAAACCUCUUUUGCCGGGGAGCAAGGGCGGGGACGUGUCCCGGCCCGGAGAGUACCCGGAGAAAAAGCAUCGGCUAACUCCGUGCCAGCAGCCGCGGUAAUACGGAGGAUGCGAGCGUUAUCCGGAUUUAUUGGGUUUAAAGGGUGCGUAGGCGGGUUAUCAAGUCAGCGGUAAAAUCGUGGAGCUCAACUCCAUCCAGCCGUUGAAACUGAUGA